RNAcentral lists this ribosomal RNA (468 nucleotides) under uncultured bacterium. Its description in RNAcentral is "partial 16S ribosomal RNA". It matches the Rfam family "Bacterial small subunit ribosomal RNA", at positions 28 to 507 of the family's 1533-position model. The record is from RNAcentral.
GACGAACGCUGGCGGCGUGCUUAACACAUGCAAGUCGAACGGAAAGGCCCUGCUUUUGUGGGGUGCUCGAGUGGCGAACGGGUGCGUAACACGUGAGUAACCUGCCCUUGACUUUGGGAUAACUUCAGGAAACUGGGGCUAAUACCGGAUAGGAGCUCCUGCUGCAUGGAGGGGGUUGGAAAGUUUCGGCGGUUGGGGAUGGACUCGCGGCUUAUCAGCUUGUUGGUGGGGUAGUGGCUUACCAAGGCUUUGACGGGUAGCCGGCCUGAGAGGGUGACCGGCCACAUUGGGACUGAGAGACGGACCAGACUCCUACGGGGGGCAGCAGUGGGGAAUAUGGCACAAUGGGCGGAAGCCUGAUGCAGCAACGCCGCGUGCGGGAUGACGGCCUUCGGGUUGUAAACCGCUUUCGCCUGUGACGAAGCGUGAGUGACGGUAAUGGGUAAAGAAGCACCGGCUAACUACGUG